Molecule: small nuclear RNA, 103 nt
Organism: Ochotona princeps (American pika)
Lineage: Eukaryota; Metazoa; Chordata; Mammalia; Lagomorpha; Ochotonidae
Source: RefSeq, a predicted model, not a curated record
UUGCUUCAGUACCACAUAUCCUAAAAUUGGACCGAUACAGAGAAGAGUAGCAUGACCACUGUGCAAGGAUGACAUGCAAGUUUGUGAAGCAUUCCAUAUUAAA